This 664-nucleotide ribosomal RNA is filed under the name Bifidobacterium longum. Its description in RNAcentral is "bacterial SSU rRNA". It matches the Rfam family "Bacterial small subunit ribosomal RNA", at positions 57 to 733 of the family's 1533-position model. Lineage: Bacteria; Bacillati; Actinomycetota; Actinomycetes; Bifidobacteriales; Bifidobacteriaceae. The record is from RNAcentral.
GCAGUCGAACGGGAUCCAUCGGGCUUUGCUUGGUGGUGAGAGUGGCGAACGGGUGAGUAAUGCGUGACCGACCUGCCCCAUACACCGGAAUAGCUCCUGGAAACGGGUGGUAAUGCCGGAUGUUCCAGUUGAUCGCAUGGUCUUCUGGGAAAGCUUUCGCGGUAUGGGAUGGGGUCGCGUCCUAUCAGCUUGACGGCGGGGUAACGGCCCACCGUGGCUUCAACGGGUAGCCGGCCUGAGAGGGCGACCGGCCACAUUGGGACUGAGAUACGGCCCAAACUCCUACGGGAGGCAGCAGUGGGGAAUAUUGCACAAUGGGCGCAAGCCUGAUGCAGCGACGCCGCGUGAGGGAUGGAGGCCUUCGGGUUGUAAACCUCUUUUAUCGGGGAGCAAGCGUGAGUGAGUUUACCCGUUGAAUAAGCACCGGCUAACUACGUGCCAGCAGCCGCGGUAAUACGUAGGGUGCAAGCGUUAUCCGGAAUUAUUGGGCGUAAAGGGCUCGUAGGCGGUUCGUCGCGUCCGGUGUGAAAGUCCAUCGCUUAACGGUGGAUCCGCGCCGGGUACGGGCGGGCUUGAGUGCGGUAGGGGAGACUGGAAUUCCCGGUGUAACGGUGGAAUGUGUAGAUAUCGGGAAGAACACCAAUGGCGAAGGCAGGUCUCUGGG